This 509-nucleotide ribosomal RNA is filed under the name uncultured bacterium. RNAcentral describes it as "bacterial SSU rRNA". It matches the Rfam family "Bacterial small subunit ribosomal RNA", at positions 21 to 518 of the family's 1533-position model. The record is from RNAcentral.
GGUUCAGGAUGAACGCUAGCUACAGGCUUAACACAUGCAAGUCGAGGGGCAGCAUGGUCUUAGCUUGCUAAGACUGAUGGCGACCGGCGCACGGGUGAGUAACGCGUAUCCAACCUGGCCCUUAGUAGGGAACAGCCCGGCGAAAGUCGGAUUAAUGCCCUAUGUUUUCCAAUGAUGGCAUCUGACUUGGAACAAAGAUUCAUCGCUAAGGGAUGGGGAUGCGUCUGAUUAGCUUGUCGGCGGGGUAACGGCCCACCGAGGCGACGAUCAGUAGGGGUUCUGAGAGGAAGGUCCCCCCACAUUGGUACUGAGACACGGACCAAACUCCUACGGGAGGCAGCAGUGAGGAAUAUUGGUCAAUGGGCGUAAGCCUGAACCAGCCAAGUAGCGUGCAGGAAGACUGCCCUAUGGGUUGUAAACUGCUUUUAUGCGGGAAUAAAGUCAGGUACGCGUACCUGUUUGUAUGUACCGCAUGAAUAAGGACCGGCUAAUUCCGUGCCAGCCGCAGC